RNAcentral lists this long non-coding RNA (279 nucleotides) under Brassica napus (rape). RNAcentral's name for it is "long non-coding RNA (BNAP_LNC026371)". The record is from RNAcentral. Lineage: Eukaryota; Viridiplantae; Streptophyta; Magnoliopsida; Brassicales; Brassicaceae.
UCUUAAUCUAAGCAAAUAGAAAGAGGUUUAUGAUCUAAACUAGUGAAAUAGAAAGACUCCUAAAUACAAGCUCUUGGGUUAAAUUGUUGAUUAGAGUGAUAAAAUACUAUCGCAAGAUGCUCAAACAAUCAACAAUUGUUAAUCUUUAAGCCUAAGAUCACUAAUUUAUGCUAAUCCACUAUCGUGGCAAUAACUCAUAUGCUAAUCAAAUUUUUAACAUCAAAUGUCUUUGGUUAAUUACCAUCAAACAUGCAUUUAAAUCAAGUCCUAAUAGCCACU